AGUAAGUUUGCUGUCGUAGUUUUCAAAAAUUGGGAAAAUCCCAAUGGAUUAAAAUCUACCGAGCUAGUACCAGUUUCUUGGCUAAGCUAUGAAGACUCGGGAUGGUUUUGCGUUUAUCCUGACGAAAAAGACUAUCCAAAAUUGGAAAAAUGGAUUCGAGAAGAAAAAAAACCAGGAGCGAAAUGGGUUCGAUAUGAAGUAGAUGUGCUUAAGGAAGCGAAAAAUCAUGAGCAAGGAGUCAAACGAUUAAGAAAAUCCUUUGAAACCGCGAACAUCAGUUCUACUGACAACGAUGAAGAUGGAGCAGAAAAUGUUGUUGUGGAUCCUCCUCAAAUCAUUAUCGAUGAGUCGUCACUUGCAGGGUUUUUUGCUGGCUUAGAAGCCGAUGCAAAUUCAGGUGCACCUGAAUUUAAAAAAA
Trichogramma pretiosum is the source of this 418-nucleotide long non-coding RNA. RefSeq lists it as uncharacterized. Lineage: Eukaryota; Metazoa; Arthropoda; Insecta; Hymenoptera; Trichogrammatidae. The transcript is spliced from 3 exons. The record is from RefSeq and is a predicted model, not a curated record.